Actinokineospora bangkokensis is the source of this 72-nucleotide transfer RNA. It matches the Rfam family "tRNA". Rfam says of the family: Transfer RNA (tRNA) molecules are approximately 80 nucleotides in length. Their secondary structure includes four short double-helical elements and three loops (D, anti-codon, and T loops). NCBI's taxonomy places the organism in Bacteria, Bacillati, Actinomycetota, Actinomycetes, Pseudonocardiales, Pseudonocardiaceae. The record is from Rfam.
ACCCCCAUGGCCCAGCGGACAAGGCACCGGUCUACGGAACCGGGGACCCAGGUUCGACUCCUGGUGGGGGUA